RNAcentral lists this ribosomal RNA (277 nucleotides) under uncultured Methanomicrobiales archaeon. RNAcentral's name for it is "partial 16S ribosomal RNA". It matches the Rfam family "Archaeal small subunit ribosomal RNA", at positions 1061 to 1338 of the family's 1478-position model. Lineage: Archaea; Methanobacteriati; Methanobacteriota; Methanomicrobia; Methanomicrobiales. The record is from RNAcentral.
CAGUUGCCAGCUCGUCCUCCGGGAUGGUGGGGACACUGUUGGGACCGCUCUGCUAAAGAGGAGGAAGGAAUGGGCAACGGUAGGUCAGCAUGCCCCGAAUUAUCUGGGCUACACGCGGGCUACAAUGGGUGGGACAAUGGGUAUCGACACCGAAAGGUGAAGGCAAUCUCCUAAACCCAUCCGUAGUUCGGAUUGUGGGCUGCAACUCGCCCACAUGAAGCUGGAAUCUGUAGUAAUCGUGUCUCAAAAUGGCACGGUGAAUAUGUCCCUGCUCCUU